Long non-coding RNA from Vespula vulgaris, 2383 nucleotides. RefSeq lists it as uncharacterized. The transcript is spliced from 6 exons. The record is from RefSeq and is a predicted model, not a curated record. Lineage: Eukaryota; Metazoa; Arthropoda; Insecta; Hymenoptera; Vespidae.
AACACAUUCCAUAGUUUUGGGAAUCAAUGAUUGGUCCGAAUUUUAUUUAAUCACAAGAGGUCUAAUUUUAAUGGUAUCAUUAAAUUCGAAAAAGUUUCGAAUAAUUAAGAUGAAUGUUGCCAUUAAUUUUAAAUUUAAAGAACGUAUCUUCACGGCCUACAGCUUUUUUGGUUAUGCAUGAGUUGGAGGAGAGCUCUUAGCCCGUAGAAAAGUCUUAAAAAACGUAGAGAGGGAAAAAGUCACUUUUCUGGAGUUUAUAUUCUCUGCAGAAGCGAACUUCGUUCCAGUGUUACUUAGCUCAACGUAAGAAGAGGGGAAAAAGUCUUCAAAGGUAUAUAACUUUGUUUGAUGUGAAUCAAUUCUAAUUCCGCGAAACGAGUGUCUAAAAUUCAUAUAUCCAUUAAAAAAAAAUAAUUUGGAAGUGUGACACAACAAUAUACUGUUACGCUAUGAAACAAACAUUAAUCCUGGGUGAUGGAAGUCGCGUUAGCUGUGAUAUCAAGAAAUGGAGAUCGAAGAGGUACUACUCGGACGAUAUGGAAGGAAGCAUGAUGGGAAUUUAUCGCAUAAUCUUUCCAAAAUCAAGUACUGGCUGAAAACACUAUAACAAAGUGAAGAUCUUCUUGGGAUGGCCCAUUCUCUGCUAGAAAUGCUAUAAGAAGAAGAUGGUCAGAAAAUGAUAGAUUUUCUGUACGAUCUUUUUGAGCUGUCAGCGAAUUUUCAACUUCAAAUUAUUCAAUAAGUACUUCCACUUGGAGGAUAAUACUCAUUCUCCUUGAACGUAUAAACAUCGCACCACUGAAUACAGAAGGUAUCUGGAAAAGUUCGCACAAGAGAGGUGAAGAAAUCGACGUCGUUAAUUGUGAUUUUUUUAUUCUAUUGGUUCCUUUUUCUUAAAGAACAAUUGUGCAUUUAAAUUAAAUUAAUAACUGCAUAAUAAGUGCACAUAAAUUAAUGUAAUAACUGUUGUAUUUAUAUAAACGCGUUUAUAUAUGAUACACUUUUAUAUUAUCCGCAUUAAAUUCUACGUAAUUUACGGAAAAAUUAUUUUUAAGCAAUAAUAACUUAAUGUAAUAUAUUUAUUGUACGUAUUAAUUUAUUAUACGUAUUUAUUGAUACAUGUGAAUUAUUGUAUAUAUUUAUUUUUUGAGAAUAAAUGUUUAAUCGAUAUUAAAUUAAUAUGUAUAAUUCCCCCGUAUCCUGUAAGAAUGCUUGCGAUACGUCGUGGAUGAGUUAGGAAUAGUUAUAAUAUAGUCGAAAUGCUUUCGAAAAUAUCGGGAAGAUGUUUGCGUAAGUAAUAAAGACGCAGUUAGUGAGUGAUAUUUUACAUUAGAAAACGUUAUGUUAAAUUAGAGUAGUUAUGUUUUUCUAAUGCGUUCUUAUUAAUACACACACGUGCACAUGCGCGCACACACGUAUAACUACGAUUUGCUAUUUAAAUGAUUUACACAGCUUUCACUUUGCUAUAUAUAUAUUCCACUUUGAUAUACAUAUAUAUAUAUAUCGCUUUUUUUAUUUGCUAACGUCGUCAGAGGCGAUGGAUCUAUUUUAGAAUUUCAUUUCACGUGAUUUGUUCAAAACAAAAUAAUUUAACAAAAACAAGAUUCAUAAUUUAUCGGUUAUAAACGUUAUAGAAACGUAAUCAAAUAAAAUAUGUGUAAUAUGUGUAUAUAAUUUUAUCGUUGAAAGCAGAACGAAUAUAUAUAGAAAUUCUCCUCUUCCUAAAAUGCCUACAAAAGAGUAUAACUGAACAGAGGCAAUUUUUCUCCGAUGUAGAAAGCCGAAUUACCUUUCGAACGAAAAAUAAAAAUAAAAUAAAAUAGAUCGUCAGGAAAAAUAAGGGAAGGAAACACGAAUCUUUGUUCAGUCUCUCGGUUAAAAAAUAGCGACGAGGCGAGCAACACAGUAAAAUUAAAUCAACGUAUUCCAAUGCGAAAGUUUAUUGAUUAUAAUGAAAUAUCAAGGUAAUCCAUGGUGGAACGUGGUAUCAUAGGCUCUGCCAGAUAUUCUCCUCUUUAUUCCUAUCAUUCAAUACUAUUUUACAAUAAUCACGUAUUUACAUAGAUAUAUGCCCUUUUCUUUAAUAGCCCAAAUGUCUCAAAAAAGAUUAUUUGCAGUUAUGCUAUUAAUAAAUCAAUAUAUGUGUUUAAUCUUCACCAUGAAGCGUCAAGGAGAACUGCGUAGCAAGGUGUCGUAUUAUAUGCUCUGUUAGCUCAACAAUUUUCUCCUCUCUACUCUCCUAACCACCGCAUAUUUCUCAGCAAUAUACAAUAAUUCCGUACUUACUUUUAAAUAACUUAUAUGACUUUUAUUUUCAUUAGUCAAAAUCUUUUAAAAAUGAUCAUAUCAAAUUUAUACUAUAAAUAAAGUAUCGUACUUAUAA